Molecule: ribosomal RNA, 305 nt
Filed under: uncultured bacterium
Lineage: Bacteria
Description: bacterial SSU rRNA
Rfam family: Bacterial small subunit ribosomal RNA
Source: RNAcentral
GGAAUCCUACGGGGGGCAGCAAUGGGGAAUAUUGCACAAUGGGGGAAACCCUGAUGCAGCAACGCCACGUGAGUGAAGAAGUAUUUCGGCAUGUAAAGCUCUAUCAGCAGGGAAGAAAAUGACAGUACCUGACUAAGAAGCCCCGGCUAACUACGUGCCAGCAGCCGCGGUAAUACGUAGGGGGCAAGCGUUAUCCGGAUUUACUGGGUGUAAAGGGAGCGUAGACGGCUGCGCAAGUCAGAAGUGAAAGCCCGGGGCUCAACCGCGGGACUGCUUUUGAAACUGUAUAGCUAGAGUGCAGGAGA